GAAAUAAAGGUACGUGGAGACUCUAGAGACUUCAAGGCCAUGUAAUAUCAACAGAUGCAGAGGUGAAUACACCCAGAAGAGGCCCUCUCUUCAUAUACCACCAUGUCACUGUUCUGCGGGCACUGUCUAGGCUUUAUUGUGAAACUCUGAACGACUCUGAGGUUACAUGUAAGUAAUUUAGACUUCCUAAGGCAAAGUUGCGUUUGUUCUUUUUUUGUUUGUUUUUUUCAAACUUCUGAGAAAUAGACUCCAUCUCCUGUUCUUGAAGAGAUGGAACAGGGGAAAUGGACUUCCACUGAUCUUAGAAGCAGCUUUAAAUGAUGUUGCUCUCUUUCAGCUAUCUGUUUUUGAAAUGUAGCAGUCAGAAAAUUCUUUUAGUCCUGAAGAGGUUGGGGCCUCUCAGUGCACUCAGCAUUUGUCUUUCAGUGGUCAGUGUGAUUGUACACAGCAUAUUAUUCAAUCCCUGGCUGCGCCCAAGAACAGAAAACAACCAAGCAGAGUCUCCCAGUGAACAUAAAGUCUGUCCAUGGCAAGUUAUUUCAUCUGAUAAAAACAAUUUAGUAUAUUUAAUCAAAAUUAUAUUACAUUCAGAUAUUCAUAAAGUCCUUAAUAUCAUCAUCUAGGGGCAAACCAUGGUGUAAUGCAUUAAACAUGAGUGAAUAUCAAACUAAAUAGGUAGUUUUCAUAAAAAUGUUAGAAAAAAAUAGCAUGUAAAGAUGCUUCCAACUAGUUUUCAAUGUGUGAAAAUAAACAAUUUGUAAGAGAAAUAGUGUCUUUUAGCCAAAUUAGAUUCUGCCCAAUAUUAUUAUUUUAAUGGAUGAAUAAAAAUGCUUUGGUGUCUGGGCAUGUAGAUUUAAAAUGAUGAUGAAAUACAGGUAUUUUCACAAUAACAAUGAAGAGAUAUUUCAGGCCUAUAAAUCAUUAAAUAUUGAAUACCAAUUUUACAACUCAGUAAAAACAAUAGAAAUCCUUAAAAACAAGUAGUUAAAAGAGGCUUGCACUACAGUGAUUGAAAUAAUUGAUUUUUUUCAUAUUUUUUUACAGUAUCUAUGAGGCAUUUCAAUUUUUGUUUUAAUUUUCAUAAUUUCUUUAUUCUUCUAAUGAGGACAUUAUUUCCCUUCUUAAACAGAGAAAACAAUUUCUUGUUUUGAAAAUUACUGUGAAAAGAACCCAUGUUUUUCAAAUAAAAUUUUUUGUGGAUCACUAUUGUAUAAAAGAAUUAAAAAUAAUCUUUAUUAUGGAAUUUAUAAUACUUAUUAUGGAAUUUAUUAUGGAAUCAUUUAGAGGCCAACCGUGGUGUAAUGCAUUAAAAUUAGUGAAUAUCAAACUAAUGUACUUUAUGAGUUCAAUAAUAUUAUAAGGGGGGUUCUAGUAAUUUACAUAUAUUAUAUUUGGGUAUAUAACUUUUCAAAUCAUCAAAAGAAAGGGGUAGCAAACUAAGCAACAGAUAACAACACCAUGCUAUUUUAGACUCUGAUGGGGUUCAACAGAACCCUGUCCCAGAACAAGGGCAGAACUACACAUGCGCAGUGCUGAUGGGAGCAAGUGCACCCGUCCUUUUCGAACGGCGGCUCUCAAAACCUAGAAGCUUCCUUCUCAUAGAUGAAAUCACUGAACAAUUCCUGGUAGAUUUAACAGUUGUUUUCUUUACAUAGGUGUUUCCACCUAAGUGUAAGAUUGUUUAACUUACUUCUACCUGGCCUUGAGUCACCAGAAAUUAAAAAUGAGAGAACCUCUAUGUAUUCAUCUAAAAAUUACUAUAUAUUUAACAUCUGUCCAACGCUGCAUUUGAGAAUGAAAUAAAUGAAUAUAUUUUAAUAGUAGCAUAGGUUUUUGUGACUCUUAAGACUACGGCAUUCAAUUUGAUUUUAUAAAAUGUGAGACUAAAUAGCGUAGUAUUGACUCAUUAAUAAAGGUUUUUAUACUAUAUGAGGCAAUAGAUAAAUCAUAUCAGUAAAUCGUUUCUCUGUUCACAGUUAUUUAAAUAAGUAUUAAUGCAUAUGGAUACUUUCCUGAGGGUGUUAUAUGUAAAAAUUACAUACCAGAUUUCUUGAUGAUGCCUUAUAAACAUUAUUGUGACAAGUAUGUAAGAUAUGACUAAGCAUCAGAACUAUGAAUUAUUUUUAUUAUUCACAAAGUUAGUCCAGUUUAAUAGAAAAACAUUGUAACUGGAGCAGAGCAAUCAAUAUUGGCUGAAUAAAUGGACAAAACAUAAUUUGCUUUGGACUGGCAAAUCAUUCCAAAAUCAUCAAUGUCAUCAUCAUAAUCUACAGCAAUAAUAGAUGUAGAAUAAAUUAGUAAAUCAAUAUAAUGCCUAAGAAUGUUUUUGUUAGAUAUUGUGUAAAAAAUAUAUAACUUUUAUAGGGUAAAUGAAACAUUAACAGAUCUAAUAGAGCAUAGAUUUGGAGGUAAAGUAUCUUAGUAUAUUGAGAAUUUCUGUGAUAAACAAAUAGCUUUUAUUAAUUAGAAGGAAAGGACAAAAAUUAAUAAAACAUGAGCAAAAGGAGUAAAUUCUGAGAAAUUUUAUGAAAGAGGAAAUCCAAAUAGCUAACAAUCAUAUGAAAAGGUAUUCAAAUGCAGUGGCAGUCAGGGAAACACAAAUCAAAGAAAGAAUGAUAUAUCAAUUUAUAUACGUUUUAGGAGAAAUUUAAGUGUUUUUGGCAUGGAUGUGAGGAAGCCAGCAUUCUCAUAAAAUGCUACAAGAUGUGAGAGUUAGAAGUUUUAAAAAAGCCAGUUCAUUGCCAUGUGUUGCAAUUAACUAUGAAAUGAUGUAAAUAAUUUUUGACCUGUCCAUCUUACUUCUAGGAAUCUAUACCUCAGAAAUAAAAACUAUUAGAACUCAAUCACAAGGGGUAUGUAUGGUAAAUUUAUUUGUAGGAGCACAAGUGAAACACCUGAACACAAACACAUUCAUCAAAACCAAAAAGACUUAGGGAAUAUCCACAACAUUCACACUGCAGAAUAAAAGGCUGCCAUUACAAAGAAUAAAUUGCAAAUACAUCAAUUAUAAAUUUUGUACCAGAUGUUGAAUGAGGAAAAAAGUCAGAAAAUAGGUAUAUGAUAAGACCUGUUUUGUUAAACAAACUGACAAAAAUGUUGUUGGUGUGUGUGUCAUUAAAUAAAUUUGGUGAAGAAUUAUGAAGGCUGUUAGCACAGAUUACAAACAGGGCAGUGAGGUAAAAGAAGGAUGUUUUUUGUUUGGGAGGAAAAUAAUGAGAAAGAAUCAGAUGUAUAAGAAUAUGUAUAAUCUGGUCAGUUAAUCUAGUUAUGUCAACUUUUCUGUAAAUAUAUAGGCAAGAAUUUUUUUAAAACAAUGUAGAAAACUUGUACCAGAUUGAUGGAGUUUGAAGAAUAUCUCUGAUAGAUUUGAAGUAUAUAUUUGCUUCUAAUCCUUUAUGAAUUUCGUAAACCCCUCUUUUGGUUUUCUUAUGAAUCUGCGUAACUAUGAAUAUAAAAAGAUAAUAUUAAACCUCAUUUUGUGGCAAUUAUGUUGAGUCAUUGGAUUUGAGAAUAUUAAACUUUCUGACCAUUUGUUUAAUUCAGGAUUGGGAUUCCUUUUGCUGUCUUUUAGCAUAAUAAUUCUCAAAAUCUAAAGCAUUCAUAGGCUAGAAUAUUUUUAACCAGAAGACAGACGAUAUUAUUAAUAAUAGUACUCUACUAGACUAUUACAGUCAAACAGAUGGGAAAGAAUAAUUUAAAUUACAGUUUUAUAAACAAUUUUUCUUUUGCCCUCAUUCAGAAUAUCUCCAAAACUUGGGACGGUUGACUAGUUUUAACACUGUAUAUAAGAAAACCUGAAUUCUGAUUUCCUUUCUACUAGUAGCCAGCUGUGAACUUGAAUUCUGAUUUUUCUUCUACUAUAACUAGAUAUUUAGGUCAAUUUAUUUUUCACAUUUAUUGAGCAGGAUCACUAAAACUUAAGCUGCAUAAGUUCACAGAGUCUUUGGGAUGUGGCAUUUUGAAAAUGAAGAGAAAUCUGAUAUAGUUCUCAUUAAAGAAGUCAUCAUAAUUAGUCAUAAAAAUAAAAGUAGAAAAUAUAUUUUUAUAUAGCAGAAUGAGAUAUUUGUAUUCAAAUAGUAUGCUAGGAAAAGGUGAUUUUUAAAUAUGUUUUACAGAAAAAAGAUGAUCUAUAAUAUUUUAUAAUGUAUGUUAUGUAAAGCACAAUUUCUUGGGAUGUUAUUAGACAUUUAUGGCGGAGAAACAGUCGUUUGUGAUCAAAUAUAUUUAUAGUAAACCCUGAGUAGAUCCAUAUUGAAUAGGCAUCAUUUUUGUAGGAUUUCUCUGAAUUUUUAUUAUGCUUACAAUUUCUGUAACUUUCUCAAAGGAGGAUAGAGGAUGUACUUUACAAAUAUGUUUUAUGGCCAAUUUUUUUUCCUCCAAGAAUUUCCAGGCUAAGCAAUUUUUGUGUGUGUGUUUUUUUUAAGGCCACACUUGCAGCAUAGGGAAGUUCCCAGUAUAGGGGUCCAAUCUGAGGCUGCAGCUGCUGGCCUACACCACAGCCACAGUAAGCCAGAUGUGAUCCAUGCCUGUGACCUACACCACAGCUCACUGCAAUGCCAGAUCUGUAACACAUUGAGCAAGGCCAGGGAUUGAACCCACAUCCUCAUGGAUACUAGCCGGGUUCAUUACAGCUGAGCCACAAAGGGAACUCAAAGCAUUUUUUUUGAAAAUGACGUGUAGGGAAAUGUUGAGCAAGAUGUGACAUUCUCAAAGUAAAAUUAAAUAAAUAAAAAUAAGCCAACAAAAAUUUUUUUAAAGACUGAAAAUCCUAAAUGAUUUCCUUAUUUAAAAAUAAUUAUUUCUGGAGUUCCGAUUGUGGUGCAGUGGUUAACGAAUCCGACUAGGAACCAUGAGGUUGCGGGUUUGAUCCCUGGCCUUGCUCAGUGGGUUAGGGAUCCGGCGUUGCCGUGAGGUGUGGUGCAGGUUGCAGAUGCGGCUUGGAUCCUGUGUUACUGUGGCUCUGGCAUAGGCCGGUGGCUACAGCUCCAUUAGACCCCUAGCCUGGGAACCUCCAUGUGCUGCAAGAGUGACCCAAGAAAUG
This 5041-nucleotide long non-coding RNA is filed under the name Sus scrofa (pig). RNAcentral describes it as "lncRNA (ENSSSCG00000052279.1)". The record is from RNAcentral. Lineage: Eukaryota; Metazoa; Chordata; Mammalia; Artiodactyla; Suidae.